This is a long non-coding RNA of Macrobrachium nipponense, 3900 nucleotides long. RefSeq lists it as uncharacterized. The transcript is spliced from 5 exons. The record is from RefSeq and is a predicted model, not a curated record. NCBI's taxonomy places the organism in Eukaryota, Metazoa, Arthropoda, Malacostraca, Decapoda, Palaemonidae.
AGAGGGUCAUGGGUCUAGCAACCCAGUGUAUUUCUGGUGACAGAAGUUCACUCUCGACGUGGUUCGGAAGUCACGUAAGGCCGUUGGUCCCGUUGCUGAAUAACCACUGGUUCCAUGCAACGUAACAACACCAUACAAACAAACAAAAAAAUCUAGCAACCCAAUUCCUGAACACUUGAUGAAAACUUGAAGGGUGCCACUUAAUAAUGUGUGCGUGGUUUAGAAUAUAUUGACCACCAAAAAAGCUUUCAUGACUAAUGCGCCUGCCUUAAUUCAUUUAUAAAAGAUUUAAGGUAUUAAGUGGAUGACUCCAGAAUCGAAGAGCCCGUUGGGGCUGAGAUUAUCAUCUCACUUAAUCAUAUUAACACAACUGAAAGAAAUUUUUGCCUUCGGAGCCGAUUUUAUAUAUGGGACUUACUACCAAAGGGCAAUACAGUCCCUGGGAGAAUAUAUCAAGCCCUUAAUAGUUUUACAGAUUUCAGAAUUAUUACUUGAUUUAAGUCGUUCAGAUCACCGAGUUCAAUUCUUCUUGUAUGAAAUGUAUAGGAUGCCACAACAAGACGGAUAUCUUACCAGGAGUGAUCUGACUAAGAACACACUUUUACGCAGUGACCCUUUCCGUUUUGUAACCUACCCAAGUAAGGAGUCCCACCUCACAUGGUUAAGCCUAGCUAGGACAUUGUGGAAGUUAGGUGCCCUAAAAGUACUAUAAAAUGGCAGGAACGAAGGAGCUACUGUUUGUAGUAUAUUUGUAAACAGUAGACUAUAAUGCCUCUAGAUAGUAGCUGUCCAACCCCUUCCAUUCUGUAAUGAAUGUGGUUCCUACUGACAUUAGACAGGUUGAAUACUCUCCGUGUGGCUGGGGCGUGGAAGAAAUUCCUCCAAUCAUCUUAAAAGGAGUUUAGUGCUCAAGACCAGAUUGGUUGCAAAACGAUGCCCCUUAUAUAAAAUUUCGUUGUCUUUUUAAUCUUUGGUAGCGUUUAUCUACGGGCUGCUCUAGGAGCAAGAGCCCGUGCUUGCAUAAGGCCAGCUUAAUCUCCAACAACAAAGGUGCAAAUGAAGCUGAGACACAAUAUCCUUCUAUUGCCCACGCUAGAUGAAGCAAGACAUGGGCCGGGUAGACAAAAGUUUGGCCAUAACCUCUAAAUCAAAGAAUAGACCUAUACCUCGCGAGGGAUGCCACUACAGUACUCAAGAUCCAGAACAGAAAUGAUUCAUGCUGAAAAGAUAUAAGAAAAAAACAAAUCAUCGGAAGAGGAUUAUGGUUCAUGCCUACUCUCAUCCUGUUCCUCCUUUUUGAGGUAAUUAAAGGAAUCAUGGCAAUCAGCCUACAAAGCCAAGUACGAGGAACUUUCAGCCAUUAAGCACAUUUUUCCCCCCACAUAAUUGGUGCAUUUGCUGGUACGGACCCCCAAGGUGAACCGAAGCAGCUGACAACUGUCAUUAAAUCUCCCAUUUAUCAAUAAUGGGAUGCAAGCUUGCAUUACAGCCAAAACACAUGUCGGCAGGGGAAUGGGGCACUGCCUCUGUGUGGCUGCAAGAACACAUGAAUUAGUAACUUCAAAAUGGUUGGUUGCACUUUAAAUUAACUAAUCUACUCCAAGAUAACAGAAAGUCCUGUUUCACAGGUAUAACUACUGUUCAGGUAAAGUGAAAUUUUUGCAUUUAUGUAAACCUGUCUGAUACAAUUACAGUUGUUAUGUUCGAAAGCGUAAUGUAUUCCUGUUUACUUAAAAGAGAUAGCAAUUAUCUAAAUUUUGUGGUUCAUAUAACUUUCCCAACAAUUAUAUUAUGAUUAUGCUCGAUAUCAAAAGUUUAAGAAAAGAAUUUUUUAUAAAAUAUUUCUAAACUAAUACAAAUUAAACACUUGUACCUAUAUACAAUAAUCAAAAUAGUGUUAGUUAAGAGUAAAAAUAAUUAUUCUACAAAUGAAUUUGUAUUUACAAACCAAAAAGAAACCCUCACAGCUGAAAAUUUAGUUUUGUAAAGCCGCCAUUUUACAAACAAGAUGGCCACCCAGAUGACCUAGAAAGUUUAAGCAACAUUGCUUUUUGGAAUCCUCUUGUCAUAAGCUUUCCAAAAAUCUAUAGUGUAUUUCAGAACACAACAGACCUGAUUAAGUGGUUUAAAGGCACCAAUUACUAGUGAUGGGAAAUAAAACCUUGUACUUCUAUUCACCAGUCUUGUUAGGGAAGAAAUCCCUUACAAUAACAUUAUUCCAGGUCAUGAAUUGCAAUCAUUCUGUUCAGAGAAAGAAGCCCAUAAUGAAAACAGCAUUAUUAUGCUUUCACAAAAAGAUUAAACUCCUUUGGCCACCUUCCUGUAGAGCAUAAAACAAAUCACAAAAGCAGGAGCACAUUGAAAACAUCAGUGACCUGCUUUCUAAGAAAGGGACAAAAGAAACAAUCACUGAACAGUGAGGAGAUACAAAGAAGAGAGGCGUGUUAGAUACCAAGACUUGCAUGAACACUGCAAGUAGUACAGUUUGAUAAGUUCAUACAUUCAUAAAUGAAGGAUGAACAGGUAUUAAAUGUAAAGUUUGAUAAGGACAAUGCAAUACUAGUCUAAAAUGUUUUUACAUGAUACUGAUGGCUGUCAGUUGGGGGCACUUCCAUUUUGUAAAAGUGAGUUUCAAUGAUGUAGAAACAAGUUUUUGGAUAUGCUAAAUCAUCACAAUAAUGGUGUUAUUAACCAAAAAUCUUAAAACUUCCUUUACUAGAUUACCGUGCAGCAUAACUACUCUUGCAGACAUUCUUCAACUCUUCUCUACAGCAGCAGCAACAACCCGACCUUUUUAGACCUUGUGUGUCAAAUCUAACCCAGGAAGAGAGGUUCCAAUAAAGAUGGCUAAGGUUGGGAGUGAAAAGGGAAGGAACCAACCUUGAUCAGUUCUUAGUGCAAUAAACAAAGGACUGCUACUCGCAUGGCCUACACAGAAAAAUUAAGAGGUGGUUGGGAUAUUGUGACCUGCUUGAACCAUGGAAGGCUCUUGUUAAAGUACACCAGGACUCCUUGGCAGUGCCCAAAUUCAACUCAACAUAGGAAUCAUGAAGAUGAUUGGGCUGGCAAUGUAACCAAAUCCUAUGACUCAGGACAAGCAUCUCUGCCAGCCCAACUUCUACAACUGACUGACUUUCUCUCAAGGAUGGUGGUUGCAUUCCACAUUGGACAAAUAUGAACUUAUUCAACACUGAUAAGUCAAUGGCUAUAUUCUUGUCUGGUUCAAUCUUUGUAAACUCAAACACUGUACUUGGUCAGUAUAAUGUAGUUAGGUAAAUAAUAAGACAAAAUAAAAAUGAGUAGAGAAAUAUAAAAUUUACACAAUUGUUAAACAGUUAUCAAGCUUACAGGUAUAUAAGAUAAGCCAAAGUACACAAAUUACUAUGAGCAUCCAGGGACAAUGACUUAGAACAUGGUUGGGACUUAGACCUUUGUAAAAUUCAUCCUCACCAACCCACAUCUUCACAGCAGAUUAUCUUGAUCAACAUUAAAAUGGGGAAAAUGAUUGAUGAAAAUCAGUACUAGGGUGUACUAUUAAAUGUAGUCAUUCUUUUGCUAUUGCAUCACGAUGCCUCUUUCUAUAGAACAGAACAAAUAGUGACUUUAAAUCAUCUGAAAAAUUAAGUAAUUCUUUUACAUAGCUAAUGUUUAAAUGCAAGAACAAAAAGCUAAUAUUAAUGAUUAAAUUCACUUAAUCCCCUUUUAUGAAGAUAAUCUACCGUCAAGAUGUGAGCUAGUGAAAACGAGGUAAACACAGGCCAUAGGCCACUACCAGAUCCUGAGUCCUCCUUGUCCCUGGAUGCACCUGGUAAUUUGUGUAAUAUGCCUAUAAGCUUCAUAAUUGUUAAUUGUGAAAAAAUUGUGUAAACUCGGUGUUAAUAUAUUCUUCUACUGUUUUUC